AACGAACGCUGGCGGCAGGCUUAACACAUGCAAGUCGAACGCCCCGCAAGGGGAGUGGCCGACGGGUGAGUAACGCGUGGGAACAUACCCUUUCCUGCGGAAUAGCUCCGGGAAACUGGAAUUAAUACCGCAUACGCCCUACGGGGGAAAGAUUUAUCGGGGAAGGAUUGGCCCGCGUUGGAUUAGCUAGUUGGUGGGGUAAAGGCCUACCAAGGCGACGAUCCAUAGCUGGUCUGAGAGGAUGAUCAGCCACAUUGGGACUGAGACACGGCCCAAACUCCUACGGGAGGCAGCAGUGGGGAAUAUUGGACAAUGGGCGCAAGCAUGAUCCAGCCAUGCCGCGUGAGUGAUGAAGGCCUUAGGGUUGUAAAGCUCUUUCACCGAUGAAGAUAAUGACGGUAGUCGGAGAAGAAGCCCCGGCUAACUUCGUG
This 431-nucleotide ribosomal RNA is filed under the name uncultured bacterium. RNAcentral describes it as "partial 16S ribosomal RNA". It matches the Rfam family "Bacterial small subunit ribosomal RNA", at positions 29 to 507 of the family's 1533-position model. The record is from RNAcentral.